AUUGAACGCUGGCGGCAGGCCUAACACAUGCAAGUCGAACGGUAACAGGAAGAAGCUUGCUUCUUUGCUGACGAGUGGCGGACGGGUGAGUAAUGUCUGGGAAACUGCCUGAUGGAGGGGGAUAACUACUGGAAACGGUAGCUAAUACCGCAUAACGUCGCAAGACCAAAGAGGGGGACCUUCGGGCCUCUUGCCAUCGGAUGUGCCCAGAUGGGAUUAGCUAGUAGGUGGGGUAACGGCUCACCUAGGCGACGAUCCCUAGCUGGUCUGAGAGGAUGACCAGCCACACUGGAACUGAGACACGGUCCAGGCUCCUACGGGAGGCAGCAGUGGGGAAUAUUGCACAAUGGGCGCAAGCCUGAUGCAGCCAUGCCGCGUGUAUGAAGAAGGCCUUCGGGUUGUAAAGUACUUUCAGCGGGGAGGAAGGGAGUAAAGUUAAUACCUUGACUCAUUGACGUUACCCGCAGAAGAAGCACCGGCUAACUCCGUG
RNAcentral lists this ribosomal RNA (490 nucleotides) under uncultured bacterium. RNAcentral describes it as "partial 16S ribosomal RNA". It matches the Rfam family "Bacterial small subunit ribosomal RNA", at positions 30 to 507 of the family's 1533-position model. The record is from RNAcentral.